This 253-nucleotide ribosomal RNA is filed under the name uncultured bacterium. Its description in RNAcentral is "partial 16S ribosomal RNA". It matches the Rfam family "Bacterial small subunit ribosomal RNA", at positions 524 to 776 of the family's 1533-position model. The record is from RNAcentral.
UACGUAGGCAGCAAGCGUUGUUCGGAGUUACUGGGCGUAAAGGGUGUGUAGGCGGCUUUUUAAGUUUGGUGUGAAAUCUCCCGGCUCAACUGGGAGGGUGCGCCGAAUACUGAGAGGCUAGAGUGUGGGAGAGGAAAGUGGAAUUCCUGGUGUAGCGGUGAAAUGCGUAGAUAUCUGGAGGAACACCGGUGGCGAAGGCGGCAUCCUGGACCAACACUGACACUGAGGAGCGAAAGCCAGGGGAGCAAACGGG